UCGAUUCCCUUAGUAGCGGCGAGCGAAACGGGAAGAGCCCAAACCAACAAGCUUGCUUGUUGGGGUUGUAGGACACUCUAUACGGAGUUACAAAGGACGACAUUAGACGAAUCAUCUGGAAAGAUGAAUCAAAGAAGGUAAUAAUCCUGUAGUCGAAAAUGUUGUCUCUCUUGAGUGGAUCCUGAGUACGACGGAGCACGUGAAAUUCCGUCGGAAUCUGGGAGGACCAUCUCCUAAGGCUAAAUACUCUCUAGUGACCGAUAGUGAACCAGUACCGUGAGGGAAAGGUGAAAAGCACCCCGGAAGGGGAGUGAAAUAGAACCUGAAACCGUGUGCUUACAAGUAGUCAGAGCCCGUUAAUGGGUGAUGGCGUGCCUUUUGUAGAAUGAACCGGCGAGUUACGAUUUGAUGCAAGGUUAAGCAGUAAAUGUGGAGCCGUAGCGAAAGCGAGUCUGAAUAGGGCGUUUAGUAUUUGGUCGUAGACCCGAAACCAGGUGAUCUACCCUUGGUCAGGUUGAAGUUCAGGUAACACUGAAUGGAGGACCGAACCGACUUACGUUGAAAAGUGAGCGGAUGAACUGAGGGUAGCGGAGAAAUUCCAAUCGAACCUGGAGAUAGCUGGUUCUCUCCGAAAUAGCUUUAGGGCUAGCCUCAAGUGAUGAUUAUUGGAGGUAGAG
Molecule: ribosomal RNA, 677 nt
Filed under: Staphylococcus aureus
Lineage: Bacteria; Bacillati; Bacillota; Bacilli; Caryophanales; Staphylococcaceae
Description: partial 23S ribosomal RNA
Rfam family: Bacterial large subunit ribosomal RNA
Source: RNAcentral